GAGGAGACCAGGGUACGCAGGGAAACUCGGGCCCCCCGGGGCCCCCUGGAGGGCCGGGGCCCCAAGGAGACGACGGGGAACAAGGGGAACGAGGAUCGCCUGGAACUCAAGGAGAAGAAGGACCCAAAGGGCCCCCAGGACCACCAGGAUUCAGAGGACCUCCAGGGCCUAUGGGUGAGCAGGGUAAUCGAGGCGUGAUCGGCGACGUCGGCUUCAAGGGCUGGAAGGGCUUCAACGGGAUGCAUGGCUUGCAGGGUAGACCGGGUAUCCCUGGAGAACCAGGCGGGCCAGGACCGGAUGGACCAGAGGGGCCACAGGGUCCUCAAGGUAUCCAGGGAGACAAGGGUCGAGACGGGGCCAACGGAGACCGGG
This is a long non-coding RNA of Engraulis encrasicolus (European anchovy), 372 nucleotides long. RefSeq lists it as uncharacterized. The record is from RefSeq and is a predicted model, not a curated record. The transcript is spliced from 5 exons. NCBI's taxonomy places the organism in Eukaryota, Metazoa, Chordata, Actinopteri, Clupeiformes, Engraulidae.